CAGCAGCCGCGGUAAUACGGAGGAGGCAAGCGUUGUUCGGAAUUAUUGGGCUUAAAGCGCGUGUAGGCGGAAUGAUCAGUAUCCUGUGAAAUCCCCCGGCUUAACCGGGGAAUGGCAGGGUAAACUUCCAUUCUUGAGGCAAUCAGGGGCACCUGGAACUCUAGGUGGAGCGGUGAAAUGCGUAGAUAUCUAGAGGAACGCCGGUGGCGAAAGCGAGGUGCUAGGAUUGAUCUGACGCUGAGACGCGAAAGCGUAGGGAGCGAACGGGAUUAGAUACCCCGGUAGUCUACGCCGUAAACGAUGCGCACUAGGUCCGAGAUGUCAAUUGCUUUUUGGGCCGAAGCAAAAGUGUUAAGUGCGCCGCCUGGGGAGUACGGCCGCAAGGCUAAAACUCAAAGGAAUUGACGGGGGCUCACACAAGCGGUGGAGCAUGUGGAUUAAUUCGAAGCAACGCGAAGAACCUUACCUGGGUUUGACAUGCACGGAUGCCCUUCUGGAAACAGGAGUAAGCUGCCCUUUGGGUGAAACGUGUACAGGUGCUGCAUGGCUGUCGUCAGCUCGUGCUGUGAAGUGUCGGGUUAAGUCCUAUAACGAGCGAAACCCUUAUCGUUAGUUGCCAGCGGGUCAAGCCGGGGACUCUAACGAGACUGCCGGUGUUAAACCGGAGGAAGGUGGGGAUGACGUCAAGUCAUCAUGGCCCUUAUGCCCAGGGUGUCACACGUGCUACAAUGGGAUGUACAGAGCGACGCAAGACCGCGAGGUUUAGCAAAUCGCAGAAAGCAUCCCCCAGUUCGGAUUGGAGUCUGCAACUCGACUCCAUGAAGGUGGAAUCGCUAGUAAUCGCGUAUCAGCCAUGACGCGGUGAAUAUGUUCCUGAGCCUUGUACACACCGCCCGU
RNAcentral lists this ribosomal RNA (897 nucleotides) under uncultured bacterium. Its description in RNAcentral is "bacterial SSU rRNA". It matches the Rfam family "Bacterial small subunit ribosomal RNA", at positions 509 to 1397 of the family's 1533-position model. The record is from RNAcentral.